CCUGGCGGUCCCCAGAGCUGGUUCCGGCUGCUGUUUACUUGUGCCCCACGAGGGGGUGGCUCUGAUUUGGAAAAGGUAACGGUUCCCAUGGGCCCUGCCCCGCCGCACAGCCCAGCGCAGGGACCUCGUACCUUUGUACCUCUCCAGGACAUCCUCGUAGGCCUGGAGGUACUCCUGCUCCUCCACAUACAGAACAAGGGAAUUCAGUGGCUGUGGAUGGAAUCCUCCUCACUGUGGGCCACCAGCAAGUAACUGACUCUCCUCAUGGAGAAAGGUGAUGGGCAUCGAUCGAACCAAGGCCUUAGGUAACCAAGGCAAGUGCUCUACCAUUGAGCUAUCUGGAGAUAUAGAAACACAACGUCACCGUCACCAGCGAUGUACUACAACACAAACCUGAUUACAUUACUACACUGCUUUAAAACCUCUUGGAGAUGCUCCACUGUGUACAGGAGUAGCCCUGGGGACUCCACAGUAGAGGCCAGCACCAGGGUACUCUCUACCAUCCCCUAGCAAUACCUCGGCUUAACUACACACACUGUUUGCAGUUCAGUUAAGCAAGUCCCCUAUGCUUGUCCAUGAAGUUCCAUUCCUUUGAAGUGGCCUUCCCUGUCAACCUAAUUCUAUCAAGCUCUCUUAAUCUCGGCUCAAGUGGUACUUGCUCUCAAAGGCCUUUCAGGAGCCUCGCACAUCUCCCCUUCUCCCCCAGGUUAAUUAGACUCCUCUGGGUUCUUUGAAUAUUAGACACCUCCAGCCAUGACAGCUGAUCUCUCAGAGCACGUUGUAACUGUCCGGGAGCCAUUGUGUCGUACUAGCUAUGACUCUUUAAAGACAGAACUAUGUAUUUUACUGCAAGAACUCAAUAAGCAUGUGUUAACUACGGGUGAAUGAACUUAUCCAACGGUCCGUGUGGCUUUUGACUCAGGGGCGCGCGUGGUGGUGGGGGGCAUUUCAUAAACAACUCUGAUGACCUUUAAAAUAUAUAUUAAGCUCUUUUACGACUG
RNAcentral lists this long non-coding RNA (1001 nucleotides) under Rattus norvegicus (Norway rat). RNAcentral describes it as "long non-coding RNA NONRATT029295". Lineage: Eukaryota; Metazoa; Chordata; Mammalia; Rodentia; Muridae. The record is from RNAcentral.